This 295-nucleotide small RNA is filed under the name Rattus norvegicus (Norway rat). Its description in RNAcentral is "uncharacterized LOC102548056". The record is from RNAcentral. Lineage: Eukaryota; Metazoa; Chordata; Mammalia; Rodentia; Muridae.
CCCGGCAGGAGCGGACGCGGGCAGAAGCAGGCAGUGGCACUGUCUAUCCAACGCGCCACAGAGUGGCCAUGGGGACUCUUCUCUGGUGAAAAUGAAGAUGGUGUGGGCCCAGCAGCUUGUCAGUGAUUGAUGGUUUAUAGCUCUGUCAACGUUUUCUUCCCACUGGGUUCAACUUAACACAAGAGAGAAUUGGAAGCCAGGCUCAGCUAGAAGAUCUAUCUCAGGCUGGAGAGAUGGUUCAGCGGUUAAGAGCAUCGAGUGAUCUUCCAGAGGUCCUGAGUUCAAUUCCCAGCAA